GGUCCCGUGGUGUAGCGGUUAACAUGCCUGCCUGUCACGCAGGAGAUCGCCGGUUCGAUCCGGUCGGGACCGCCA
This 75-nucleotide transfer RNA is filed under the name Lysinibacillus sphaericus. RNAcentral's name for it is "tRNA-Asp(gtc)". It matches the Rfam family "tRNA". From Rfam's summary of the family: Transfer RNA (tRNA) molecules are approximately 80 nucleotides in length. Lineage: Bacteria; Bacillati; Bacillota; Bacilli; Caryophanales; Bacillaceae. RNAcentral also lists the same sequence under 1 other name. The record is from RNAcentral.